RNAcentral lists this ribosomal RNA (588 nucleotides) under Triticum aestivum (bread wheat). RNAcentral describes it as "partial small subunit ribosomal RNA". Lineage: Eukaryota; Viridiplantae; Streptophyta; Magnoliopsida; Poales; Poaceae. The record is from RNAcentral.
AUGUCGAAGCCGCUGCGCGGACCCAGGAAGCGGGUGAGGAGAGGCCUGUGGUCGCCGGAGGAGGACGCUAAGCUGACGAACUACAUUGCCAAGUAUGGCCACGGCUGCUGGAGUUAUCUCCCCAGGCUAGCAGGCCUCGACAGGUGUGGAAAGAGCUGCAGGCUGAGAUGGUUGAACUACCUGAGGCCGGACCUGAAGCGGGACGCUCUCUCUCAGGAUGAGGAGGAUGCCAUCAUUCGACUCCAUUCCAUCAUAGGCAACAGGUGGUCUCAGAUCGCGGCGCGGCUGCCAGGGCGGACCGACAAUGAGGUCAAGAACUUCUGGCACUCCUUCAUCAAGAAGAAGCUCCGCCGGCGUGGCAUCGACCCGGCCACACACAAGCCCGUGAUCGCCGAGCAGCUCGUCUUGCCAUCCGUGGACCGGCACAUGUCUCACUCUCACCCGGCCGUGACGGCAAAAAGCUGCAUGUGCAUCGGGAGCAGCACGGACGGCAGGGCGGUGUUCAGUGAAGGUGAAGCGGGCGGGACGUGGAUUUUUAGAACUGCUGCACCCCGGCCCUGGUAUCCUGGUUGUCCAAUAUUGCUUUAA